This 255-nucleotide ribosomal RNA is filed under the name uncultured bacterium. RNAcentral describes it as "partial 16S ribosomal RNA". It matches the Rfam family "Bacterial small subunit ribosomal RNA", at positions 524 to 777 of the family's 1533-position model. The record is from RNAcentral.
UACGUAGGGUGCAAGCGUUAAUCGGAAUUACUGGGCGUAAAGCGUGCGCAGGCGGUUAUGUAAGACAGUUGUGAAAUCCCCGGGCUCAACCUGGGAACUGCAUCUGUGACUGCAUAGCUAGAGUACGGUAGAGGGGGAUGGAAUUCCGCGUGUAGCAGUGAAAUGCGUAGAUAUGCGGAGGAACACCGAUGGCGAAGGCAAUCCCCCUGGACCUGUACUGACGCUCAUGCACGAAAGCGUGGGGAGCAAACGAGG